Molecule: non-coding RNA, 2281 nt
Organism: Panthera uncia (snow leopard)
Lineage: Eukaryota; Metazoa; Chordata; Mammalia; Carnivora; Felidae
Source: the annotation of a RefSeq genome assembly
AUGGCUGAGCAGCAGACCCCUCACAGACAGGACGGACCCAACAUGCGCGGGGGCCCAGAGCCCAAGGAGCAGGAGGCCAGCCCACCAGACCCGGGCCCAGGCUGCAGCCCCGCUCCACGCAGGGGACCCCUCAGGACCCUCCAGCUCACCGGCAUGGCACCCGUGACCUCGACCCACACCCGUCCCCACGACCCAGCAAGCGCCUCGUGUGCCACGACCCGCGGGGGGCGGGGACUGCGGUCCGCAGGGCCCCUCGGUGCCCAGCGCGGGUCACCCCAGCCGCCCGCCCACCCCGUCCCCCGUCCCCCGUCCCCGGGCCGCGGAGCUCCCGAGGCUGCCCCGCCCCGGCGUCCGCCCCGUCCUCCCUCCGACGAGACGCUACAAAAAGAGCGCGUCCAGGGGGGCACUUCGGGAGACGACGAGAGCGAGUGUGAACUGGGAGAACAGCAGCGAGCCGCACCGGCACCGGAGGAGGAGUCCCCAGGGAAACCGGGCCACAGAAGGACACGUCCACGCGAUCAUCCGUCACCAGUGGAGAGUAAUGAACGGAGCAGCGGGACUUGUGACGGAAAACACAACGCCCGGGACGGCCGUCAGACACACGCACGGCCCGGCCUCGGGGACGAAGGCCUGCACGAUGGGUCCCUCGUCUCAGGCGCGCGAGGCUCCCUGUCGGCCGCAGAUUGUGCCUGUGCCAGGAUGGAGCGGGGCCCGUGUCAAUGUGACUACUUUGACUACUGGGGCCAAGGAACCCCGGUGACGGUGUCCUCAGAGACCUCAUCCCGUCCAAAUCUCUUCCCCCUCAUCACCUGUGAGAGCUCCCUGUCCGAUGAGCCCCUGGUGGCCAUGGGCUGCCUGGCCCGGGACUUCCUGCCCAGCUCCGUCACCUUCUCCUGGAACUACAAGAACAACAGUGUGGUCAACAACCAGGACAUCCAGACCUUCCCUCCAGUCCUGAGAGAGGGCAAGUACGUGGCUACCUCUCAGGUGCUCCUGCCCUCCGUGGACGUCCUCCAGGGUUCAGAUGACUUCCUCACAUGCAAUGUGAAACACCCCAAGGGCAACAGUGAGGUGAACGUGCCCAUCCCAGUGCCUCUAGAGCUGUCCCCCAACGUGACUGUCUUCAUCCCACCCCGUGACGCCUUCUCUGACAACAACCAGCGCACGUCCCAGCUCCUCUGUCAGGCAACAGGCUUCAGCCCCAAGAAGAUCUCUGUGUCCUGGCUUCGUGACGGAAAGCCCAUCAAGUCGGGCUUCAACCCAGGCAACGUGGAGGCUGAGAACCAAGGGCCCGGGCCCGUGACCUUCAAGGUGCUCAGCACGCUGACCAUCACCGAGAAUGCCUGGCUCAGCCAGAGCGUGUUCACUUGCAAUGUGGAGCACAAUGGGCUGACCUUCAAGAAGAACGUGUCCUCCGCAUGCAUCCUCAACACGCAGGCCACCAUCAGAAUCUUCGCCAUUCCCCCCACCUUCGCCAGCAUCUUCCAAACCAAGUCGGCCAAGCUGUCCUGCAGGGUCGUAGACCUGACCACCCGCGACAGCCUGAACGUCUCCUGGACCCGCCAGAAUGGCGACUUUCUGCCAACCACCACCAUCUUCCAGAGCAACCUCAACAACACCUUCAGUGCCACAGGGGAGGCCACCGUCUGUGCAGAGGACUGGGAGUCAGGGGAGGACUUCACCUGCACGGUGACCCACACAGAUCUGCCCUCGCCACUGAAGAAGACCAUCUCUAAACUCAAGGACGUCAACAAGCAACCGCCCUCCGUCUACGUCCUGCCACCCAGCCGGGAGCAGCUGAGCCUGCGGGAGUCAGCCACAGUCACUUGCCUGGUGAAGGGCUUCUCACCCGCAGAUGUGUUCGUGCAAUGGCUGCAGAAAGGCCAACCCAUGUCCUCUGAGAGUUACGUGACCAGUGACCCGAAGCCCGAGCCCCAAGACCCCCACCUCUACUUUGUCCACAGCACCCUGACUGUGAGUGAGGAGGAGUGGAGCUCGGGGGAGACCUACACCUGUGUUGUGGGCCACGAGGCCCUGCCCCACAUGGUGACGGAGAGGAGCGUGGACAAGUCCACCGGUAAACCCACCCUGUACAACGUGUCCCUGGUCUUGUCUGACACAGCCACCACCUGCUACUGACCUGUGGGCCGCCCCACUCCGGGUGGAUCCCAGAGUCCUGGGGAACCCGUCGCUGUGUGUGCAUGUGUGCAAACUAACCGUGUCAAUGGGGUGAGAUGUGGCGUUUUAUCAAAAUUAGAAAUAAAAACAUCCAUUCAAAAGA